Psammomys obesus (fat sand rat) is the source of this 570-nucleotide long non-coding RNA. RefSeq lists it as uncharacterized. The record is from RefSeq and is a predicted model, not a curated record. Lineage: Eukaryota; Metazoa; Chordata; Mammalia; Rodentia; Muridae. The transcript has 3 exons.
UGGAGAGAAUAAACUCAGCUUCAAUCUUUGCUGAAGUCCGGUUAACUUUGUCUCACUUUGUUUUCUUUCUUAAUCCUCACGGCCUCUCUCGUAGUAUACACUUAUCUGACUGCGUGGGCUCGAGAAAGAGGGAAAGAAGGACACCGCUGGAGAAGAGAGUGCUCAAGAAACAGAGAAUAGCAUUAGCUAUUUGCCUGUGUGUGGAUAUGUGCUGGAGGUAUCACAUAGCCAGAAGCUGCAGUAAAAGGUGUUGUGAGCCGACCAACAUGAGGAAUCAAAGUCUGGUCACGUGGAAAAGAAGAGUGAGGUGGGGCUGUGAAAUUUCCUGGUAUGCAUGAGUACAGCAGGUCUGAAAGGAAAGAGCAGAAUCUGUCCACAAAAAGAGCCACUGAGCUCCUAAUGCACAGUGGUGAAGAGAAAUAAAGGUCUUCUGGCUCAUCGUGGUACUCCUCCCUACCGCCCCUCAUUUUCCGAGAUGUAGCACACAGGAAGCCUCGACUCUUACUUGGCAUCUCUGCAGUAAACCUGUCUAUGGGACCCAACAUUCCAUUAAAUUUGCAUGCAAUGAGU